Molecule: ribosomal RNA, 486 nt
Filed under: uncultured bacterium
Lineage: Bacteria
Description: bacterial SSU rRNA
Rfam family: Bacterial small subunit ribosomal RNA
Source: RNAcentral
AAUCAACGCUGGCGGCGUGCCUCAGACAUGCAAGUCGAACGAUUAAAGCUCUCUUCGGAGAGUGUAUAGAGUGGCGCACGGGUGAGUAACACGUAAGUAAUCUACCCUCGAGUGGGGAAUAACGUCCGGAAACGGACGCUAAUACCGCAUAAUGCAGCGGCACCGCAAGGUGACAGUUGUUAAAGGAGAAAUUCGCUUGAGGAGGAGCUUGCGGCAGAUUAGCUUGUUGGUAAGGUAACGGCUUACCAAGGCUACGAUCUGUAACCGGUCUUAGAGGACGGUCGGUCACACUGACACUGAAUAACGGGUCAGACUCCUACGGGAGGCAGCAGUCGGAAUUUUGGGCAAUGGGCGAAAGCCUGACCCAGCAACGCCGCGUGAAGGAUGAAGUAUUUCGGUAUGUAAACUUCGAAAGAAUAGGAAGAAUAAAUGACGGUACUAUUUAUAAGGUCCGGCUAACUACGUGCCAGCAGCCGCCGCUGUAAC